Molecule: ribosomal RNA, 200 nt
Filed under: uncultured bacterium
Lineage: Bacteria
Description: partial 16S ribosomal RNA
Rfam family: Bacterial small subunit ribosomal RNA
Source: RNAcentral
AGAGUUUGAUCCUGGCUCAGAGCGAACGCUGGCGGCGCGCUUAACACAUGCAAGUCGAACGAGUGUAGCAAUACACUCGUGGCGAACGGGUGCGUAACACGUGGACAACCUUCCUUCAGGUGGGGAAUAACCCAGCGAAAGUUGGGCUAAUACCGCAUAACACGACGAGGCACAUGCUCUUGUCUUCAAAGGAGCAAUUC